Molecule: non-coding RNA, 675 nt
Organism: Saimiri boliviensis boliviensis (Bolivian squirrel monkey)
Lineage: Eukaryota; Metazoa; Chordata; Mammalia; Primates; Cebidae
Source: RefSeq, a predicted model, not a curated record
GGAGGUUUGGUUGCAUGGUUUCCUGUGGUAUGAACAUCAGAGACUUCAAGGUCAAGGUAUUUAGUUGUGGCUUUGUGCAAACCUCAGAACUGUUUCCUCCAAGGGCCUGGGGUAUUUGGCAGACACUGUCUCUUGCUGCCUUUGCUGCUGUGUGACAGGUGAUAAAAUAGAAGCCACCUGGAGGCAACUUCCUCUCCCAUCAACAGGCUCCCCAGCCUUCAUGCCUGUCCUUUGGGGUCUCCCUGCGGACAGCGGGAGCCACCUUUCUGUGGUCCCACCUUCCUGGGCCUCUCCUUCAGUCAAGCUGCACAGCAGCAUUUUUGACACUUGGUCUGGUUGCAUCCUCACUAUCCUGCACUAGCAGUUCUUGGUGAGACUCUUCAUGCUGCAGACGGAGGCAUAGGAAGGGCUGGACUGGCUCCCCUUCUUACUGUGGCUAGGCAGGGUAGGGGGUACCUUGGCUUCCAGGAUCUCUUGAAGCGAAACUACUAGGGCUGAGCCACAUCCUCUGGUGCCAUCUGCUGCCCAGAUGGGAACACAGCCCUCUUGCUGCACCGAGAACAUGUGUGUCCUGGAUUCUCCGUCAGCUUUUCUGAAUUAAAACGUGAAAUCAUGGGAGUGCCUUUAAUUAAUGUUGAAUCAGUGAAUGAAAUAAGAUUAUAAUAUUCUACAGUA